Mesocricetus auratus (golden hamster) is the source of this 156-nucleotide small nuclear RNA. Its record names the gene U1. It matches the Rfam family "U1 spliceosomal RNA". From Rfam's summary of the family: U1 is a small nuclear RNA (snRNA) component of the spliceosome (involved in pre-mRNA splicing). Its 5' end forms complementary base pairs with the 5' splice junction, thus defining the 5' donor site of an intron. The record is from Ensembl. Lineage: Eukaryota; Metazoa; Chordata; Mammalia; Rodentia; Cricetidae.
ACACUUAACUGGCAUGAGAGAUGUCAUGAUCGAGAAAGUGUUUUUUGCAGGAUGAGGCUCAUCCUUUGCAUGCUGACCCCCAUGGUUUUCCCAAACAUGAAACACUGGCUGCAUGUUUUGUGGCAGUGGAGAACUACAUUCACACGUUCCUCUGAA